GUGAAUCAUCGAAUUUUUGAACGCACAUUGCACUCUCUGGUAUUCCGGAGAGUAUGCCUGUUUGAGGGUCAGUUUAAAUAAAAAUCGGUGUGGUUGCUGCCUUUCGUGGUGACGGCCCGGGUCUGGGUCGACUUGCCUUCGGUUAGGUGACAUACAAAUUUGCAUGAUUUUUUUCGAACGUAUUGAAAUGAUUUUGCGUACGUUUGGGAUACCGAAUACUAGGUGUGGUGAUCCUC
RNAcentral lists this unclassified non-coding RNA (236 nucleotides) under Glomus sp. RNAcentral's name for it is "partial contains 5.8S ribosomal RNA and internal transcribed spacer 2". The stretch from base 1 to 71 matches the Rfam family "5.8S ribosomal RNA", at positions 84 to 154 of the family's 154-position model. Lineage: Eukaryota; Fungi; Glomeromycota; Glomeromycetes; Glomerales; Glomeraceae. The record is from RNAcentral.